AAAGGAAUUGACGGGGACUCGCACAAGCGGUGGAGCAUGUGGUUUAAUUCGAUGCAACGCGAAAAACCUUACCAGGCCUUGACAUCCCUCUGACCGAUCUAGAGAUAGGUCUUCCCUUCGGGGCAGAGGUGACAGGUGGUGCAUGGUUGUCGUCAGCUCGUGUCGUGAGAUGUUGGGUUAAGUCCCGCAACGAGCGCAACCCUUAUCAUUAGUUGCUAACAUUCAGUUGAGAACUCUAAUGAGACUGCCAGCGACAAGUUGGAGGAAGGUGGGGAUGACGUCAAAUCAUCAUGCCCCUUAUGGCCUGGGCUACACACGUGCUACAAUGGCUGGUACAAAGAGCAGCAAAACCGUGAGGUCAAGCAAAUCUCAAAAAGCCAGUCUCAGUUCGGAUUGUAGUCUGCAACUCGACUACAUGAAGUUGGAAUCGCUAGUAAUCGUGAAUCAGCAUGUCACGGUGAAUACGUUCUCGAGUCUUGUACACACCGCCCGU
This 493-nucleotide ribosomal RNA is filed under the name uncultured bacterium. Its description in RNAcentral is "bacterial SSU rRNA". It matches the Rfam family "Bacterial small subunit ribosomal RNA", at positions 903 to 1397 of the family's 1533-position model. The record is from RNAcentral.